Homo sapiens (human) is the source of this 2200-nucleotide long non-coding RNA. RefSeq lists it as uncharacterized. NCBI's taxonomy places the organism in Eukaryota, Metazoa, Chordata, Mammalia, Primates, Hominidae. The record is from RefSeq and is a predicted model, not a curated record. The transcript has 2 exons.
GGUGAGACUCACCUGACAGCUGAGAGCCUGGCCGGGAGAUCCACGCUGCAGAGGCCAAUGCUGGACUUCCCCUCCCCUCUUCAACCAGGCAGUUGCCCUGGGCCACCUGGUGGCCUGAAAUAACUUGACCGGGAACUAAAAGGACUCACGAAGCAUUUAACCAAGACUCUACAUGUUGACUUUUCAGCCAAGGACACUUCAGAGCGACUGGCUGCAGUUCUCCAAAGGAAGCUGCUGCCAGUUGCCCCUGGGGGGUUAUUUCCUUCUUGGACAUCAUGACCACAAUGGCAGAAAUGCAUUGAUGGCCAGCACUCUGGGGAUGAAUGUUUUUGAGUGGAAAUGAAACAUACCAAACUGGUUAAAGACAAAAAUGCAGAGUUGGACAAGUUCUGCAGGUCACGAAAGGCCUUUGAAGCAGCCAGGCCCGGUUCCUGCUCUGCUGUAUGGGAGGCUGCUGGCCUGAGCUGGAGAGCAGAAAGGCCCAGUGCCAAGGGUUCAGCAAGUACCAGUCCCAGGCCAGGCAUUUGCUAAUAAGCCAGGGUGACAGUAAGGACAAGGGGACUCUGGUGUGAUGUGAGGUUUCUCAGCCUCACUUGUCACACGUGAUAACUGCACAACCCUCCUGUCCCCUCCAGGCCUGUGUGAGACAGGAAAGGUGAGGCUGCCUCUCCCUCUGCACCUUAAAGCCACUCGGGGUCUGGGUUUUCCUGAGACUUCCCGGAGCCAGAUGCAGACUCCCAAAGGCGCCGAUCCUUCCUCGAUCUCCCUCCCUCAAGAGUGGCACUAAUCAGGUCUAAUUUAGAGAAAAUCCAUCACCUCCCCCCACUGUGGGCUCUGCCACUUCAUGCCUUGGUCUCUCCACCUAUCAGCCAGCUGGAGCCUGGGACUCAAGGAGGCAUGCUUGGAAGUAAGGAACUUCUCUGAGUACGAGGACAUCUGGGUGGUGCUGAACACCAGCAUGCUUUGCCCCGUGGCCUGGACUGUGCACAGGGCACCUAGAGUGACCUGUCACCUCCCACGCAGGUGGAAGGGUGUGAGAGAGAAUGGGCACUCAGUUACAAACAUCCCCUUCCCAAACACUUGUGGAUCUGAGUCUGAGGCUACUCCUUCCAGGUGAGGGGUUGGCUGCUGUUGUAGCUUGUUACUCUCUUUCUGUCCCUUCUGCCCUCAGGUCUUGACCAUGCAGCUUCCCAAGAACAGGAUGGGGAAUGAUAUGGGCACAUGGGGAGGCAAGCAGCCACAGGCCUCACCUGCUCAUGGGCACUGACCGUCCCAACAGCAGGUGGACAUGAAUCUAACCCACAGACACCAGAGUAGAGGGAGCUGGGCUCCCUGAGUCUGGAUGGGGUUCUCACAGGCCCCCACAGGGAGACAAGGGAAGCUUUCUCCAGAAUGUGGAGUACGGACUCACUGUGUGAAUAAAGUAAAUGAGCUGGAGGGGGCGGGACAAGAUUUCAAAAAGCACCACUCAUACACCCAGGACUGGCAAAGCUGCUGGCAGUAAGCUCUAUCAUGGGGCUCCCCCACUGCAGGUGAGCUGAUUGGCCUCAGCUGGCACCAUCCAUGCUCAGUGUUUGCCCUGAGGACAAGAAGACAUGGCAAAAAAGAGGAAAGUACAGAACACACUCCCACCUGGCUGGUGGGGAUAUAGAUAGUGCAGCUGCUGUGGAAACCUUCAGCUCCACAGAAAGGUAAAGAUGGAGCUACCACACCCCGAGUAAUUCCACCCCUAGGUAUCCACCCAAGAGAAAUGAACUCAGGCAUUCAAGCAAACACUGGCUCACAGAUGUUCAGAGCAGCGCUGUUCACAGUAGCCAAAAUGGAGAAACAAGCCAAGUAUAUAAAAUGACAAAUGCAUAAAUAAGAUGUGGUAUAUCCAUAGAAUGGGAUAUUAUUCAGCCAUAAAAAUGGAUGAGUACUAACACAUACUGCAACAUGGACUUUAGAAAACAUGGAAAGUAAAAGCAGUGAGUCACAAAAGACCACAUAUUGCAUAAUUCCAUUUAUACGAUAUAUCCAGAAUAGGCAAAUCCACAGAGACAGAAAGUAGACUGGUGGUCGCCAGGGGCUGAGGGGAAAGAGUGGGGAGUAAUUGCUUUACGGGUAUCAAGUUUUGGGGUAAUUAAAAUGUUCUGGAAAUUAUAGUGGUGAUGGUUGCACAACAUAGUGAAUAUAUUAAAACCUAAAAAAUAUACUAAAA